This 331-nucleotide ribosomal RNA is filed under the name uncultured bacterium. Its description in RNAcentral is "partial 16S ribosomal RNA". It matches the Rfam family "Bacterial small subunit ribosomal RNA", at positions 338 to 666 of the family's 1533-position model. The record is from RNAcentral.
CCUACGGGAGGCAGCAGUGAGGAAUAUUGGUCAAUGGGCGUAAGCCUGAACCAGCCAAGUCGCGUGAGGGAUGAAGGCUCUAUGGAUCGUAAACCUCUUUUAUAAGGGAGUAAAGUGCGGGACGUGUCGCCGUUUGUAUGUACCUUAUGAAUAAGGAACGGCUAACUCCGUGCCAGCAGCCGCGGUAAUACGGAGGGUGCGAGCGUUGUCCGGAUUUAGUUGGUUUAAAGGGUGCGUAGGCGGCCUUGUAAGUCAGCGGUGAAAGUCUGUGGCUCAACCAUAGAAUUGACUUUGAAACUGGGAGGCUAGAGUACUGUUGAGGCAGGCGGAA